This 253-nucleotide ribosomal RNA is filed under the name uncultured Allobaculum sp. RNAcentral describes it as "partial 16S ribosomal RNA". It matches the Rfam family "Bacterial small subunit ribosomal RNA", at positions 524 to 776 of the family's 1533-position model. Lineage: Bacteria; Bacillati; Bacillota; Erysipelotrichia; Erysipelotrichales; Erysipelotrichaceae. The record is from RNAcentral.
UACGUAGGUGGCGAGCGUUAUCCGGAAUGAUUGGGCGUAAAGGGUGCGCAGGCGGUCCUGCAAGUCUGGAGUGAAACGUAUGAGCUCAACUCAUGCAUGGCUCUGGAAACUGGAGGACUGGAGAGCAGGAGAGGGCGGUGGAACUCCAUGUGUAGCGGUAAAAUGCGUAGAUAUAUGGAAGAACACCAAUGGCGAAGGCAGGUCUCUGGGCCGUUACUGACGCUGAGGAGCGAAAGCGUGGGGAGCGAACAGG